Molecule: ribosomal RNA, 501 nt
Filed under: uncultured bacterium
Lineage: Bacteria
Description: partial 16S ribosomal RNA
Rfam family: Bacterial small subunit ribosomal RNA
Source: RNAcentral
AUUGAACGCUGGCGGCAGGCUUAACACAUGCAAGUCGAGCGGGGGAAGGUAGCUUGCUACCGGACCUAGCGGCGGACGGGUGAGUAAUGCUUAGGAAUCUGCCUAUUAGUGGGGGACAACAUCUCGAAAGGGAUGCUAAUACCGCAUACGUCCUACGGGAGAAAGCAGGGGAUCUUCGGACCUUGCGCUAAUAGAUGAGCCUAAGUCGGAUUAGCUAGUUGGUGGGGUAAAGGCCUACCAAGGCGACGAUCUGUAGCGGGUCUGAGAGGAUGAUCCGCCACACUGGGACUGAGACACGGCCCAGACUCCUACGGGAGGCAGCAGUGGGGAAUAUUGGACAAUGGGGGGAACCCUGAUCCAGCCAUGCCGCGUGUGCGAAGAAGGCCCUAUGGUUGUAAAGCACUUUAAGCGAGGAGGAGGCUCUUUUGGUUAAUACCCAAGAUGAGUGGACGUUACUCGCAGAAUAAGCACCAGCUAACUCUGUGCCAGCCGCCGCGGUAA